AGAGUUUGAUCCUGGCUCAGAACGAACGCUGGCGGCGUGCCUAAUACAUGCAAGUCGCGCGUGAAAUCCCGAGCAAUCGGGAAGGUAAAGCGGCAAACGGGUGAGUAACACGUAAGCAAUCUUCCUUCAAGUCUGGGAUAACCCUGCCAACGCGGGGCUAAUACCUGAUGUAAUACCAAUGUCGCAUGAUGUUGGUAUUAAAGAUGACCUCUACUUGUACGUUAUCGCUUGGAGAUGAGCUUGCGGCCCAUUAGCUAGUUGGCGGGGUAAUGGCCCACCAAGGCUGUGAUGGGUAUCCGGCCUGAGAGGGUGUACGGACACAUUGGGACUGAGAUACGGCCCAGACUCCUUCGGGAGGCAGCAGUAGGGAAUUUUGCGCAAUGGACGUAAGUCUGACGCAGCAACGCCGCGCGAGUGAUGAAGGUCUUCGGAUUGUAAAGCUCUGUUGAGUGGGAAGAAAAGUCACGUUUCUAAUACAAACGGGGCCUGACGGUACCGCUCGAGGAAGGACCGGCUAACUACGUGCCAGCAGCCGCGGUAAUACGUAGGGUCCAAAGCGUUGUUCGGAAUCACUGGGCGUAAAGGGAGCGUAGGCGGAGCCGUAAGUUAGGAGUGAAAUACCCGGGCUUAACCCGGGCCUUGCUUUUAAUACUGCGGUUCUUGAGUUUGGAAGAGGGAGAUGGAAUUCCAGGUGUAGCGGUGGAAUGCGUAGAUAUCUGGAAGAACACCAGUAGCGAAGGCGGUCUCCUGGUCCUAUACUGACGCUGAGGCUCGAAAGUUAGGGGAGCAAACAGGAUUAGAUACCCUGGUAGUCCUAACUAUAAACUAUGGAUACUAGAUGUUGGGGGAGUCAAUCCUUCCAGUGUCGUCGCUAACGCAUUAAGUAUCCCGCCUGGGAAGUACGCCCGCAAGGGUGAAACUCAAAGGAAUUGACGGGGGCCCGCACAAGCGGUGGAGCAUGUGCUUUAAUUCGAUGCAACGUGAAGAACCUUACCUGGGUUUGACAUGGGAGUGAAAGUUUCCAGAGAUGGGAGCCUUUCCGCAAGGAACACUCCACACAGGUGCUGCAUGGUUGUCGUCAGCUCGUGUCGUGAGAUGUUUGGUUAAGUCCAGCAACGAGCGCAACCCUCGUCCUUAGUUGCCAUCAGGUAAUGCUGGGAACUCUAAGGAGACCGCCUGGUUUAACCAGGAGGAAGGUGGGGAUGACGUCAAAUCAUCAUGGCCCUUACGUCCAGGGCUAGACACGUGCUACAAUGGCCGGUACAAUGGGAUGCAAGACGGCGACGUCAAGCUAAUCCCACAAAACCGGUCUCAGUUCGGAUUGGAGUCUGCAAUUCGACUCCAUGAAGCUGGAAUCGCUGGUAAUCGUGGAUCAGCAUGCCACGGUGAAUACGUUCCCGGGCCUUGUACACACCGCCCGUCAAGCCAUGAAAGAUGGAAGUACCCAAAGUCGCUUCUCUAACCCGCAAGGGAUGAGUGUGCCUAAGGUAAAGCCAUUGAUUGGGGCUAAGUCGUAACAAGGUA
This 1524-nucleotide ribosomal RNA is filed under the name metagenome. RNAcentral describes it as "bacterial SSU rRNA". It matches the Rfam family "Bacterial small subunit ribosomal RNA". The record is from RNAcentral.